GCCGGGGUAGUGUAAUCGGUAAGCAUGAGAGGUUGUGGCCCUCUCGGUUCGGGUUCGAGUCCCGACCCCGGCC
This 73-nucleotide transfer RNA is filed under the name Methanobacteriota archaeon. RNAcentral's name for it is "Euryarchaeota archaeon tRNA-His". It matches the Rfam family "tRNA". Rfam says of the family: Transfer RNA (tRNA) molecules are approximately 80 nucleotides in length. The record is from RNAcentral. Lineage: Archaea; Methanobacteriati; Methanobacteriota.